CGGGUGAGUAACGCGUGAGGAACCUGCCUCAAAGAGGGGGACAACAGUUGGAAACGACUGCUAAUACCGCAUAAGCCCACGGUGCCGCAUGGCACAGAGGGAAAAGGAGCAAUCCGCUUUGAGAUGGCCUCGCGUCCGAUUAGCUAGUUGGUGAGGUAACGGCCCACCAAGGCAACGAUCGGUAGCCGGACUGAGAGGUUGAACGGCCACAUUGGGACUGAGACACGGCCCAG
RNAcentral lists this ribosomal RNA (233 nucleotides) under uncultured bacterium. RNAcentral describes it as "partial 16S ribosomal RNA". It matches the Rfam family "Bacterial small subunit ribosomal RNA", at positions 103 to 334 of the family's 1533-position model. The record is from RNAcentral.